UGAAAUUUUGAAUAAUAUCGUUUUAAUAAUUUGUGAAACGAAUUAGUUUGGUUUUUUUCAUUUUUAUUAGUUUCCGUCAGUGCUGAUUGACGCGCCACUCCAGUUUCCAUUUCCGUUUCUCGAAAUUUCCUACGUCCUUGGUCUUUGGGACUCUUUGCCCAGGUAACUGCAUUGCUUCUGGGUACGUCUCACCGUUCGGGUCUCUCGAGCUUUCGGUGUCAGUUGUUACCGUUGAAGGAAGAGAAGCUGGUGACGGAUAUUAUCGAAUAAAUCGUUUAUUCUGGAAAAGUUCGAAUAUUUCUGGUCUACGCACUCCAGUGCCCGCACAGCAGAUAUUGAAACACCUGAUUUUCACCUAUUCUACAGCGACAACAUUUCUUGAUUUUUUACAACCAUGAAGAAUUCGUACUCGGAAAUACUUGCAAUGCUCAUCUGCUUGCACGUUAUUUUCGUCACUUUCUUCCCGUUAGGGGCUGGUAAGUUGAUACUGAUUAAUUAUACCAUCGAAAUUCUAUAUAAUGGCUACAAAAAAUAUUUGCAUCAUUACCCUCAUUUCCUAACGAAGCGCGUUUUUUUACCAAGUUUUAUAUUUCAUUUCAUAGUAUCAAAUCUCUGUAGUUACAGGAAAGUAUUAAAUGAUAGGAAACUUGAUAUACACGAAUUUAAUUAAUUAAUAAGUUAGUCGAUAUACAGCCAUUAUUAUUUCAUGUGAAAUAUUACAACGUCAGAAACUUAACGUUCCUGUACGUACAGUAUUAAUCACAAAUUGUAAGAAUGUUUACUGAUAAGCAAAAUAGAUAAUAUGGAAAACGCAGACCUAUGGAAAGAGAAUUCCUGACAUUAGACAGGAAUACGCGAUUGCACGAAAUAUUUUAUGGUAUGUCUAACAUGGAGAAUAUAUGCG
This is a long non-coding RNA of Bombus terrestris (buff-tailed bumblebee), 904 nucleotides long. RefSeq lists it as uncharacterized. Lineage: Eukaryota; Metazoa; Arthropoda; Insecta; Hymenoptera; Apidae. The record is from RefSeq and is a predicted model, not a curated record. The transcript has 2 exons.